Molecule: ribosomal RNA, 253 nt
Filed under: uncultured bacterium
Lineage: Bacteria
Description: partial 16S ribosomal RNA
Rfam family: Bacterial small subunit ribosomal RNA
Source: RNAcentral
UACAGGGGGGGCAAGCGUUGUUCGGAAUUACUGGGCGUAAAGGGCCAGUAGGCGGCCAACUAAGUCACACGUGAAAUCCCCAGGCUUAACCUGGGAACUGCGUGUGAUACUGGAUGGCUUGAAUUCGGGAGAGGGAUGCAGAAUUCCAGGUGUAGCGGUGAAAUGCGUAGAUAUCUGGAGGAAUACCGGUGGCGAAGGCGGCAUCCUGGUCCGACAUUGACGCUGAACGGCGAAAGCUAGGGGAGCAAACGGG